Molecule: long non-coding RNA, 225 nt
Filed under: Vigna radiata
Lineage: Eukaryota; Viridiplantae; Streptophyta; Magnoliopsida; Fabales; Fabaceae
Description: long non-coding RNA (VRAD_LNC002979)
Source: RNAcentral
UGUGUUAAAAGAAUUUUUGAAAGAAGAAGAAAAAGGUUUUCAGCACAAGGCAGACAGAAUGGUCGCACGUGUGCUUAAACCUUUUAAAAUAAGUUUUUGUAGAUUUUUUUUGAAAGAAAAGAAGAAAAAGGUUUUCAGUACAAGGCUGACAGAAUGGUCGCACAUGUACUAAAACCUUUUAAAAUAAAUUUUUGAUAGUUUUUGAAAGAAGAAGAGAAAGGUUUU